Molecule: long non-coding RNA, 4877 nt
Organism: Siniperca chuatsi (mandarin fish)
Lineage: Eukaryota; Metazoa; Chordata; Actinopteri; Centrarchiformes; Sinipercidae
Exons: 2
Source: RefSeq, a predicted model, not a curated record
GUGACGUCCGGCUUUCCUGGUGCUGAAGGACAGACUCCCUUCUCGGGCUGCUUUCCAAAAACUCCAACAGACUGAAAAUGUUGAGCUUAUGAACGAAAUUCACUUUUUUUUUCAACGGGGAAGACAAUUUCUUAAUCAGGGAAAAGCCCUGCAUCCACAGUAGGCAGAAGGGCUGUGCACAGAUGAAGAAAAGUUUUUUUUUUUAACUUGUACAUAGCAAAUUUUUAUUUUUAUGUGCUGAUUUUAUGGCAGAUGUAAAUUAUUUUUCUUGGGAAUAAAGUUUACAUGUAAGUGGAUGUAGUUGUUGUUUGAGUGUUACAAGCGACUGAAACAGUUUGAUGCCAGAUAACAACACAGUAACACCCAUGCGUUGCGCAAGGGACUAUUUCUCUUAUCUUCUCUUCCUUGUCUGGCUCCACCCUUUGUUGUUUAAUAACUUUUAUAUGCCACACAGGAAUCAGAUUUUUCUCUCAUGGUCACUUUUUUUAAUGUUACUUUUUGAAGUGGGUAAACAGCACCCUAGGUGUUCUCCCACUAUUUUAUUCCAAAUCAUCAGGGCCAGAAAUACAAGGCCAAUAUUUCUAUUUUUUUCCAAACCCAGCUGUGGGCCUGCGAUAAGGCCUGGAUCUGUGGAUGCUGGAAUGUAACAUGUUUAUUAAAUGAAGCCACAUCCAGCGAUAGAGCUGUAAAAUCUCUUGUCAUCAUUAAGGAAACAUAUUUCUCCUCUGUCAGACGGUGUCAUAAAAAAAAAAAAUGCGAGACGUAGACACGAAGGAAUGUGACCUGACUGUUCAAACUCUUCCUUCUCAUCAGUCUGACUUCAGACUCACAGGCGGCACUGAGAAGAGAAGAAGCAUUUCUUUUCAUUUAUUUCACUCUGAACAUUUUUCAUGUCCUACAGAUAAACUGGUAAAGCUGUGAAUAAUCGCAGAGACUGUUAAGCGCAGUCAGCUACUCCUAUCAUGGAUUAUCCCGCCUAUCUUGGCCGCUGCCUGCUGUUUUUCUUCAUCGCCGUCCUCUUGGAUGUAGCAGGCCUCAUUCUCUUCUUCAUUGGGGUCUUUGCUCCCCUCAGCUUCUGGGAUUUCUUCGUCUUCUCAGGACCCCUCAUUAUCUUCCUCAGCCUGGUGUUCUGGAUCUUCUGGUACCUCGGAAACCUGGAGGUGCCAAUGGAGAAACUACUCCCAAAAUAAUAUUCGUGGCUUCUUAAUUUGCAGCACAAAGCAGUUUUCUGGCAACUGGAGCUGGAAAAUGAAACCAAAGCUACGGCUACAGGCUGAAAAUGAACAGCUUCUACUCGAUCUCGUUGGUGGAGCUUUGUAUAUUUGCUUCACCACCCAAAGAAACAUGGGACUGGACUUUCACAGGGGGGGGGUUAAAUAAGGGUGGCACAUUUGUAAAAUUAGUAAAAAUGUGUUAAAACUCAAACUCUACAUUAAUAAUAGUUAUUAUUCUGUGCAGUGUUUGCAGUGGUUUUGUCUUUUUGUUGUCAUUUUGCAUCUCUUGUAGUCUAGUCUACGUGUGUGUGUGUGUGUGGGGGGUUAUUGAUUUCCUUCUAAGGCCGUUGUUCCUGAUCAGUCUCUGUGGUGAUUUUCCUGUUGUGAAAUCUGAGUAUUGGACACUCAACCCAUUCAUCAGAAACCAGUCAAACUGGGUCCAUUAGCUACCGGGGCAGGGAGUGCUCUCAUUUUACAAGAACGGUUUGUAGAGAUUCAGUCGUGAUAUGUGCUCUUGUAUAAUCUUUACAUCAAGUAUGUUUGUUGUAAAUUGUUUCUCUGUUACUAAAGAAGACACACCCUACUUAGUGUGGCUGAUAUUUAAGCUGAGCACCAGAAUAAUCCUCAGCCUUAGCGACACAGGCCGCAAGAAUAGAGCUUCAACAAGACAAACAAAGAGACGACGGAGAAAACAAACAAAACGAACCAUUUUCUAGAAAAGUAGAUGAUACGACAUGUUUGAUUCAACUAAAUAAUGGAUUUCAAAAUGCAGUUGCAGUGUUUACACCCUCUUAGACGUCUUUGCACAACCCAUAUUUACUCGGCUCUUCACAGUCUCUUUUCAAAAGCUGUUGUCAAAGAGUGGGACCACGCAACCAUUUAGCCUUGCACAAGGGGAGUAUUUGGAAACGUGUCAGCCGUGCAUUUCUAACUCAUAACUACACCCUAACGGCCCAAACAGCUCCAGCAGAAUUGAGCUGGUCGACGAGUGAUUCUAAUGGGUCACAAUCCCUCCGUCUCCGUGGCUUCAGGUUCCACCUCACACCUAACGUGUCUUUCCAUUACCUGUUGCCAGCCUGCUGUACAGUGCACGGCCAGCGUGCACACGCAAACACACUCCUACACCUGCCCUGGGUCGCCUGAACAUGACACUGUUUGACUCAGCGCUGUGGUGACAAAGGGGACGGGGAUUAAGUUCUGCGAGGCCCGUCAGUGUAGUGUUUGGUUGUUGUGGCUCCUUCCAGCACUUCACACUGCAGCAGCAGUUGAUGUGAUGGAGUUUCAGAGUAAAGCUCAGUGGUACUGAGGUAUUUUAUGUAAGUAAAACUUGCAACACCACAUUACAAGUAAAAGUCCUGUAUUUAAAGUUGUACUUAAGUAAAAGUGCAGAAGUAUUAUCAGCAAAAUGUACCUAAAGUAGCAAAAGUAAAAGUACCUGCUAUGAAGAAUGGCUCCUUUCACAGUGUUACAUUUAUCAUAUAUAUUAUUGGAGUUUUAUUAUGUGUAAGCAGCGUUUUUGUGUUGUCAAAGUGGAGACAAGUUUAACUACUUCACACACUGUGGUUGAAUCUGUAACAAUGCAACAUCUUACAUUUGCUGAUCGUGUGUUUUGGAUUAAAGUUUUAAUCUGAAAAGUAACUAGUGACUGUAGCUGUCAGAUUAACGGAGUGGAGUAAAAAGUACAACAUUUCCCUCUGACAGUAGUGGAAAGUACAUUUACUCAUGUACUGCACUUAAAUUUUGAGGUACUUGUACUUGAGUAUUUCCAUUUUCGACUACUUUAUACUCCUGCUCCACUACAUCUCAGAGAGAAAUACUGUACUUGACUACAUUUAUUUGGCAGCUGUAGUUACUAAUUACUUAUAAAACAUACGACAUAUGUCUGUGAGUUAUUAGCAGUUCCACCAAAGAGACAUAUUCCCUCCCUACACUUCUCACAUGGUGUUAAAAAUUGUUAAAGGCCCAAACAGGUCAAAUUAUCCAACAUUUCACGAAUAACCAAGCAAAGAUUAGAGAAAGCUCCAGCAAUGCAAAUUUAUAAAGCAGAACUAUCUUCUUUCCUCUUCCAUUAAUCAUCUCACAACCACUCACAUUUAUCUGGGGACCCUUUAGAGGGACCUGACCCCUAGAUUCAGAAUCACUCGACUAAACUACCUCAAUGUAUAUAAAGCAGUUCCACGUCGAGCCGCUACAACAGUAAAAUGCUACUUACAUAUUUUUGCAAUAGUAUCAACAGUCUAAUAUUGUCGUAUGUGAUAAUAAUAAUAAUAUUACCAGUCACAGGGGACAUUUUUAUACAGAACGAGUAUGUUUACUUUUGGUAAUUUAAGUACAUUUUGCCGAUAAUACUUCUUCCACCACUGUCCUCUGAAUUGUUGUGGAGUAGAAGUAUAAAGUAGCAUAAAAUGGAAAUACUCAAGUAAAUUCCCAGUACCUCACAAUUGUAUUUAAGUACAGAACAUGAGUACUUAGUUACUUUCUACCACUGGUAAAGUCUAAAUCUUCCUGGUUCUUUUCAGCCAAAUGUUCCGCCCUGAUCACAGCCACAUAAAUCCAGUCUGUAACACCUGAUAUUCUGUCCACAUUCAAAAUUCAUUACAGAACUGUUCAGUUAUGUUUCCUGUAAGUUAACUCCUCAUUUAAGGAUCUAAUUUAUAUUAGUUUCCCUUUCACUGAAUGGGUGUGCCUUAAUGAGGUGCUAAAUCACCGAAAAGAAUUUCAUUAGUCUAGUUUCAGUGGGGAGCUGCUGUGUACCAAGAUGUUAGAAAGCCGACUUUUCAUACCAUUCAUACCAGUGUUUCAAUAAUUUAAAUGAACAAGGUACAUUCAGUAAGUAGGAAUAAUUAGCAAGUUUCAAAGGGAAUCUCAGUUAUAUGAGGCAUCAAUUAAUCCUUGUUCAGUUUGGUGGUUAUUUGCUUUAAGAUUAACUGCUUUAAUGUUUUACUUUUUAUUUACAUCUACUCUAUAUUACUUACUUAUUUUAGAGUAAAAUCAAUCUUCCAUUCUGGUUAUACAAGCUCCUGCGUAGAUUAAAAAGAAACCCUGGUUGUUCUGCUUAACAGUAGUGCUCAUACUCAUGUACCGUGCUGUAUUCCUCGCCCUCCUAAAUAUGCAUUAUGUCCAUAAAUUGUCGCUAAUUUCAAUAAUGCCAAUUAUUAGUGGGUACAAUGAGGUUUAUAGGCCUACUCACAGUAAAAUAGUGUCUCUUUAAACUGCCCCUAGAAAGGUUAAUACUGUGGCUUUUACAGGGAUGAUGUCAGAGCUCUAUGCGAAACAGAAGUUGUUGUUUUCCUGCUGGGGUAGCAUGUUUCAGAAUCCCAUCACAUUUUGGAAAUGAGUCAAAGUGUGUUAAGACUCAAAUUUAAAGCCCUGGUUCUUAAUAAACCGUACAUUGUUACAGUCACAAAAUGUAUCCAUUGUGAUAAAUGAAUGUCAAAUAAACAACUUUAAUUAACAACUGCUAUUUUUAACUCCAAAUAGCCUACAGAUCUGGACAGAUUAUGAGACUGUGGGCCCCUGGACACAGACGUGUAAAAGGACACCCAGACUAUGUCUCUUUGUAGUUGAUUUGCGUCUCUUUGUGGUCAUUUUGGUUGACCAGGGGGAAAAUAUGGAGUGGAACUAAGGUGAAUGUAGGGAAAUAAAAAAACAAGAGUUUGCUGA